Molecule: long non-coding RNA, 332 nt
Filed under: Brassica napus (rape)
Lineage: Eukaryota; Viridiplantae; Streptophyta; Magnoliopsida; Brassicales; Brassicaceae
Description: long non-coding RNA (BNAP_LNC001500)
Source: RNAcentral
AGACGGGGCUGAGACACCAACAUGUUUCAGGUUCGAUCCACCUGCUGAGCGAAACUAAGUCACAAUUAUCUUGGUCACCUAACACGGAUAUGGGUCCAUGCUUUAGGGCCUAUUUGAAUACCCGGAGAGAGGGUCUAUCCUUGGGGAUUAGUCUGGGUCUCUCCAUGGGCCUAGGAUACCCCCAGGUUAAUCAAAAAAAAAAGUAUAACUAUAAAUUAAUUUUGAUAUAAGUUUAUAUCAAUGUUAUAUUUUAAAAAUGAUAUGAAAAAUAAAAUUCAAAAUUCAAAAACUAAAACUAAUUUAUUUAUAUAUGUAGUAGAAAACAAUAUUAA